Molecule: ribosomal RNA, 674 nt
Filed under: uncultured Vibrionaceae bacterium
Lineage: Bacteria; Pseudomonadati; Pseudomonadota; Gammaproteobacteria; Vibrionales; Vibrionaceae
Description: bacterial SSU rRNA
Rfam family: Bacterial small subunit ribosomal RNA
Source: RNAcentral
UAGAGUUUGAUCAUGGCUCAGAUUGAACGCUGGCGGCAGGCCUAACACAUGCAAGUCGAGCGGUAACAGGAAUUAGUUUGCUAAUUCGCUGACGAGCGGCGGACGGGUGAGUAAUGCCUGGGAAUAUGCCUUAGUGUGGGGGAUAACUAUUGGAAACGAUAGCUAAUACCGCAUAAUGUCUUCGGACCAAAGAGGGGGACCUUCGGGCCUCUCGCGCUAAGAUUAGCCCAGGUGAGAUUAGCUUGUUGGUGAGGUAAGAGCUCACCAAGGCGACGAUCUCUAGCUGGUCUGAGAGGAUGAUCAGCCACACUGGAACUGAGACACGGUCAGACUCCUACGGGAGGCAGCAGUGGGGAAUAUUGCACAAUGGGCGAAAGCCUGAUGCAGCCAUGCCGCGUGUAUGAAGAAGGCCUUCGGGUUGUAAAGUACUUUCAGUUGUGAGGAAGGGUGUGUAGUUAAUAGCUGCAUAUCUUGACGUUAGCAACAGAAGAAGCACCGGCUAACUCCGUGCCAGCAGCCGCGGUAAUACGGAGGGUGCGAGCGUUAAUCGGAAUUACUGGGCGUAAAGCGCAUGCAGGUGGUUCAUUAAGUCAGAUGUGAAAGCCCGGGGCUCAACCUCGGAACUGCAUUUGAAACUGGUGAACUAGAGUGCUGUAGAGGGGGGUAGAAUUUCA